AUUGAACGCUGGCGGCAUGCUUUACACAUGCAAGUCGAACGGACUUAGGUGCUUGCACCUAGGUUAGUGGCGAACGGGUGAGUAAUGCAUCGGAACGUACCGUGUAAUGGGGGGAUAACGCAGCGAAAGUUGUGCUAAUACCGCAUACGAUCUACGGAUGAAAGCAGGGGAUCGCAAGACCUUGCGUUAUACGAGCGGCCGAUGUCGGAUUAGCUAGUUGGUAGGUAAAGGCCUACCAAGGCAACGAUCCGUAGCGGGUCUGAGAGGAUGAUCCGCCACACUGGGACUGAGACACGGCCCAGACUCCUACGGGAGGCAGCAGUGGGGAAUUUUGGACAAUGGGCGCAAGCCUGAUCCAGCCACUGCCGCGUGAGUGAAGAAGG
This 383-nucleotide ribosomal RNA is filed under the name uncultured bacterium. Its description in RNAcentral is "bacterial SSU rRNA". It matches the Rfam family "Bacterial small subunit ribosomal RNA", at positions 30 to 414 of the family's 1533-position model. The record is from RNAcentral.